Molecule: ribosomal RNA, 80 nt
Filed under: Alces alces (Eurasian elk)
Lineage: Eukaryota; Metazoa; Chordata; Mammalia; Artiodactyla; Cervidae
Description: partial 12S ribosomal RNA
Source: RNAcentral
UCCCAUUAAUUCUUAAUAGACUUACACAUGCAAGCAUCCACAUCCCAGUGAAAAUGCCCUCCAAGUUAAUAAGACUAAGA